UACGGAGGGUCCAAGCGUUAUCCGGAAUCAUUGGGUUUAAAGGGUCCGUAGGCGGUUUUGUAAGUCAGUGGUGAAAGCCCAUCGCUCAACGGUGGAACGGCCAUUGAUACUGCAAGACUUGAAUUACUUGGAAGUAACUAGAAUAUGUAGUGUAGCGGUGAAAUGCUUAGAUAUUACAUGGAAUACCAAUUGCGAAGGCAGGUUACUACUAGUGGAUUGACGCUGAUGGACGAAAGCGUGGGGAGCGAACAGG
Molecule: ribosomal RNA, 253 nt
Filed under: uncultured bacterium
Lineage: Bacteria
Description: partial 16S ribosomal RNA
Rfam family: Bacterial small subunit ribosomal RNA
Source: RNAcentral